RNAcentral lists this ribosomal RNA (446 nucleotides) under uncultured bacterium. RNAcentral describes it as "bacterial SSU rRNA". It matches the Rfam family "Bacterial small subunit ribosomal RNA", at positions 15 to 507 of the family's 1533-position model. The record is from RNAcentral.
GAUCCUGGCUCAGAACGAACGCUGGCGGCAGGCCUAACACAUGCAAGUCGAGCGAACCCUUCGGGGUUAGCGGCGGACGGGUUAGUAACGCGUGGGAAUAUACCCUUUGGUACGGAAUAGCCUCGGGAAACUGAGAGUAAUACCGUAUGUGCCCUUCGGGGGAAAGAUUUAUCGCCAAAGGAUUAGCCCGCGUUGGAUUAGAUAGUUGGUGGGGUAAUGGCCUACCAAGUCUACGAUCCAUAGCUGGUUUGAGAGGAUGAUCAGCAACACUGGGACUGAGACACGGCCCAGACUCCUACGGGAGGCAGCAGUGGGGAAUCUUAGACAAUGGGCGCAAGCCUGAUCUAGCCAUGCCGCGUGGACGAUGAAGGCCUUAGGGUUGUAAAGUCCUUUCAGAUGGGAAGAUAAUGACGGUACCAUCAGAAGAAGCCCCGGCUAACUCCGUG